This is a long non-coding RNA of Schistocerca piceifrons (Central American locust), 1398 nucleotides long. RefSeq lists it as uncharacterized. Lineage: Eukaryota; Metazoa; Arthropoda; Insecta; Orthoptera; Acrididae. The transcript has 2 exons. The record is from RefSeq and is a predicted model, not a curated record.
GAGAGGAGAGGUCAGCAGUGAGUGGAUUUGAUUUCGAUAUUUUUCCGAUACUUUCCGUUAUCAUUGUGCAGCCUUUACUUCUAGACCACCAGCAUUUACAGCUAGAGUAGAAGACUACAUUUCCUCCUGAAACUUCCUCAUCCUACAGUGUUGUCAGGUCAUGCAUAUGGUUGUACUUAGAAUUUUCAGGUGCAGCCAUUUCUAUUGGCACCUUAAGGGAGCUCACUCAGUGUCUGGGCGGCUCAGCAGUGAAUAUGUUUUAUGUCUAAGACUGUACUUCGUCAAAUAAAGUACAUACUAGGUGGUCUUACUAGAAAUGAACUUUUCAUUGUGGCAUUUUUAAUACCGCUCACACUUGCAGCAGCUUACCUUAUUGUAAUGAGUAGCUUCUCAGCGGAAGAAAUAGAAGGUCGGACAACUUGCGUCUAGCUUCGUCAGCAUUUUAACUUCUAAUGCAAAUGAUUUCUAUUAUUUGAGACAGUGGAUAUAAUAUUAUGGCCUACUCUACACAAACUGAAGUUAUGAGAAGUAGCAGCACUGUGAAGAUGGCCUACUUUACUGGUUACAGGAUGAACAGAUUGAGUGUGUUUGAGCUUUGUAUGCUGAGAGAUAUGCAUAUGUAGACAUCCAAAGAUAGCUGAUUUAUCUAUAAAGAUGCCACACUAUUACUGUAUUCCAGGAUGUUAAAGCAGUUAUGUUCCAGUGGCGAUAAAAGCUACAUCAAGGUGUUCUGGUUCCCAGCAAAUAUGGACACACAACAUUGACUGGCUGAAACCAGUUCCAAAAAGAGACUUGGUUACCUUCCAAGAUAUACAUGGUCUGUGCUAAGUACUGUGGAGAACAGGAGAUAAUAAACUUCAAUAUGUUUAAAGAUAUGCUGAAAAAAAGGCUGAAAUACUGAAAGAGCUGGACUCAAAUGAACAGGUGGCUUAAUGCCAAGAUUUUUUGCAGGUUUGCCUCAUUAUUUAAGGACUAGGAAAGAUACAAAUGAAGGAAGACUGAAGUGACAGAAAGACCUUCAUCAGAUAAAUGAAAAGUGCCUUACAGAAAAAGUGAUUAAAAUAUUUACAGAUCUAAGUGAAAAUGUAGGUAGGAUUAUGCAAAGUGACAUUUGAUGCCAUUACUGUAACUAGCAAUUCAGUAUGUUUCCAUAGGUUAUCAGUGGAAGGAAUUCCAAAAAUUCAAUUUAGUGCAAAAACUGAUAAGUGUAUGUGUGUCAAAGUAUGUGUCAACAAUAGUAUUGCAAGUGCCCACAAUAUGCAAAGAAUACUUGAAAGUAACAAGGUGAGCACAGCUAGAGAACAUUCUGCAGAAGUAUGUUACAGUGGAAAUGUACAGUGAGAGUUGUGGUCAUGAUUGUGUCACAAAACUAAAAGUAAGAUACUCUGUCAAUAUGUU